This 253-nucleotide ribosomal RNA is filed under the name uncultured bacterium. RNAcentral describes it as "partial 16S ribosomal RNA". It matches the Rfam family "Bacterial small subunit ribosomal RNA", at positions 524 to 776 of the family's 1533-position model. The record is from RNAcentral.
UACAGAGGUCCCAAGCGUUGUUCGGAUUCACUGGGCGUAAAGGGUGCGUAGGUGGCCAGGUAAGUUUGAUGUGAAAGCUCGGAGCUUAACUCCGAAAUGGCAUUGAAUACUAUCUGGCUUGAGGGUCGGAGGGGAGACUGGAAUUCUCGGUGUAGCAGUGAAAUGCGUAGAUAUCGAGAGGAACACCAGUGGCGAAGGCGAGGCUCUGGACGACACCUGACACUGAGGCACGAAAGCGAGGGGAGCAAACAGG